CCCUGCAUAUUCCUUUCCCAUGAUAGUACCAGCUGAAUGAAAACUAACACAUUCCUUUCCCAUGAUAAUACCAGCUGAUUGAAACCCUGCACAUUCCUUUUCUGUGAUAAUACCAGCUAAAUGAAACCUCGCACAUUCCUUUCCCAUGAUAAUACCAGCUGAUUGAAACCCAGCACAUUCCUUUCCCAUGAUAAUACCAGCUAAAUGAAACCUCGCACAUUCCUUUCCCAUGAUAAUACCAGCUGAUUGAAACCCUGCACAUUCCUUUCCCAUGAUAAUACCAGCUAAAUGAAACCUCACACAUCUGUUUCCCAUGAUAAUACCAACUGAUUAAAACCCUGCACAUUCUUUUCACAUGAUAAUACCAGCUGAAUGAAACCUCACACAUUCCUUUCCCAUGAUAAUACCAACAAAUUGAAACCCUGCACAUUUCUUUCUCAUGAUAAUACCAGCUGAAUGUAACCUAACGCAUUACUUUCCCAUGAUAAUACCAACAAAUUGAAACCCUGCACAUUUCUUUCCCUUGAUAAUACCAGCUGGAUGAAACCUCAUACAUUCCUUUUCCAUGAUAAUACCAACUGAUUGAAACCCUGCACAUUUCUUUCCCAUGAUAAUAUCAGCUGAAUGAAACCUCACACAUUCCUUUCCCAUGAUAAUACCAACUGAUUGAAACCCUGCAUAUUCCUUUCCUAUGGUAAUACCAGGUUAGAAGACUAAGAUCUAUUGCCUUGGAAGCUUUUAAAGUCAUAAAAAACAAGGCCCAUUAUACUUGCAUUAAAAACAGUUAUUACUCUUUUAGGUAUACAAAUACAGCAGACAUUCCAAGGGUAAGAAUCUCUGGCUUUGGCAGCAGCUCUUUUUGUUUCAUGGCAGCCAAACUUUGGAGCGCUGUCCCACGAAACCAAUUUUAACCAGUUCAAAAGUUUGAUCAAUGCCUGCAGCAGAGAGAGCUGCACAUGCACUGCCUGUUCUAGCUACUGAUUUGGUGCUUUAUGUUAUGCUUGUUUAAAAAUUUUAUGCUUGGCUGCUUUAUGCGCUGAUGCUUUCUUUUAUAUGUGCUUAUUUCAUAAUAAUGCUUGUUUCUUUUGUUCUUGUUUUAUAUGUGCAUGUAUGUGUAAAUGCAUUGCUUUCAUAUGUGCUUUUGUAUUGCUUGAAGGUAGCUGCUUCCAGAAAUUAUCUUUUAUUUUAUGUCUUUUUAUGUUCCUUUAACGUGUUGUCAUAUUUUAUGCAGGUUAAUUUAUUCAUGUCUUAACCAGUGUUUUGGUUGCUUUCUGGUUUCGUUGUUAUUUAUAACUUCAGGUUUAAUUUUGAUGAAUGUGAGCAUGUAAUAGUGCAGUUGUGUCUAACAGUCAGCUUGAAUUAACUACAUGUACUCCCAAUUAAGAAGUGGCUAUGUAAAGGACAUUGAUAUAAAGACAUUGCUGGAGAUAUUUACUGGUGGCAGCUUCAGACCAACAGAAGUGUUUGGGGUAGCAGUAUUUACAACUAUUGACCUGGAAACCACUGACCUAAAUUUGUUGAUGCGAUCUAUAAGAAAGGAUACCACUGUCAGUAUGGAGGGAAAUGGACUUGAUGCUUAGGAGGAUGUGGAGAUGUCAGAUUCCUCAUCACCUCCAAGUCACCAUGACAACAAACAGCAACAUGAAAGGGGUGACAGUAUGGUUGAAAGUGACUGAAAAAAGCAUAUUGCAAAUCAAGGUUGGUCCUUCCUUU
Molecule: long non-coding RNA, 1713 nt
Organism: Mercenaria mercenaria
Lineage: Eukaryota; Metazoa; Mollusca; Bivalvia; Venerida; Veneridae
Exons: 3
Source: RefSeq, a predicted model, not a curated record